CGGGAUGUCCACCUUGGCCUUGAGCUCCUCCACCGCCUCAAUCAGCUUGAUCACCUUCUCGUCCACCGUGUUGCCGCCCAGGCCCAGCAUGUUGGCCAGGUCGGCGUAGUCCUAGUAGGGGGAGAUGUGGGGCGUGUGGUGGUGGUGGGUGGAGAAGGGGGUUGGCAACUUGUGGUAACUGGCAAUCCCAUCGGCGACAGGUGAUUCACAGACACGACAUGAACAUGGUGUGGCAUGCGUGCGGCGCCGCACUGCAACGGGCUCUCAUCUCCUGCUGCGCCCUCACCUGCUUGGCGGUGGGGUACUCGUACUGCGGGAAGGCGGCCUGCUUGGCGGGCAUGUCGGUGGCGUUGUAGCGGAUGACGUGGCUGAUCAGCGCGGCGUUGGCCAGGCCGUGAGGCACGUGGUAGGCGGCGCCCAGCUUGUGCGCCAUGGAGUGGCAGAUGCCCAGGAAGGCGUUGGCGAAGGCCAUGCCGGCAAUCUGGGGACCAGGACAGCAGCAUGGGGCAGGUCAGCCGAGUGCGCUUGGGCUAUCAACACCGACUAGGUAAUGCUUUCCUCCCCGACACGGGGCGGCUGUGCGCCCCACCCCCUCCUUGACACGGGCCGAUUGCCACCCCACAUCGAC
RNAcentral lists this long non-coding RNA (628 nucleotides) under Chlamydomonas reinhardtii. RNAcentral describes it as "long non-coding RNA (CREI_LNC001397)". The record is from RNAcentral. Lineage: Eukaryota; Viridiplantae; Chlorophyta; Chlorophyceae; Chlamydomonadales; Chlamydomonadaceae.